GCUUAACCGAAGAAGUGCAUCGGAAACUGGGUGACUUGAGUGCAGAAGAGGACAGUGGAACUCCAUGUGUAGCGGUGGAAUGCGUAGAUAUAUGGAAGAACACCAGUGGCGAAGGCGGCUGUCUGGUCUGCAACUGACGCUGAGGCUCGAAAGCAUGGGUAGCGAGCAGGAUUAGAUACCCUGGUAGUCCAUGCCGUAAACGAUGAGUGCUAGGUGUUGGAGGGUUUCCGCCCUUCAGUGCCGGAGCUAACGCAUUAAGCACUCCGCCUGGGGAGUACGACCGCAAGGUUGAAACUCAAAGGAAUUGACGGGGGCCCGCACAAGCGGUGGAGCAUGUGGUUUAAUUCGAAGCUACGCGAAGAACCUUACCAGGUCUUGACAUCUUGCGCUAACCUAAGAGAUUAGGCGUUCCCUUCGGGGACGCAAUGACAGGUGGUGCAUGGUUGUCGUCAGCUCGUGUCGUGAGAUGUUGGGUUAAGUCCCGCAACGAGCGCAACCCUUAUUACUAGUUGCCAGCAUUUAGUUGGGCACUCUAGUGAGACUGCCGGUGACAAACCGGAGGAAGGUGGGGAUGACGUCAAAUCAUCAUGCCCCUUAUGACCUGUGCUACACACGUGCUACAAUGGCGUAUACAACG
This 637-nucleotide ribosomal RNA is filed under the name uncultured bacterium. Its description in RNAcentral is "bacterial SSU rRNA". It matches the Rfam family "Bacterial small subunit ribosomal RNA", at positions 607 to 1244 of the family's 1533-position model. The record is from RNAcentral.